GUGGAUUAGAUACCCUGGUAGUCCUGGCAGUAAACGGUGCACGCUUGGUGUGAGGGGAAUCGACCCCCCUUGUGCCGGAGCUAACGCGUUAAGCGUGCCGCCUGGGAAGUACGGUCGCAAGACUAAAACUCAAAGAAAUUGACGGGGACCCGCACAAGCGGUGGAGUAUGUGGCUUAAUUCGAUGCAACGCGAAGAACCUUACCAAGGCUUGACAUGGAUUUCUAAGCACGUGAAAGCGUGUGACCCUUCGGGGAACUUCCACAGGUGCUGCACGGCCGUCGACAGCU
RNAcentral lists this ribosomal RNA (288 nucleotides) under uncultured bacterium. RNAcentral's name for it is "partial 16S ribosomal RNA". It matches the Rfam family "Bacterial small subunit ribosomal RNA", at positions 773 to 1060 of the family's 1533-position model. The record is from RNAcentral.